AAACGGGCGAAUGUUGCAUGUACUGACCCACGAAGCGAGUUGCACGGAACUCGAAGAUCUAAUUCCAACAACAGCUAAAAUUGUGAUUAAUAUGAAAUCUACAUAGACUGAUUGAGGCCCACUCAUUACCAAUAAACAGCGAUUAUGCUAAGAGACGUCUCCGCCAAACUCUGGAAUCCAUCCGGCAUAAUCUUGGGAUGAUCAACUAUAGCGGUUAUAAACCCGGCGCACUAAACUCGUAAACAUGGAAACGCAUUAAAUUCAGCGAACCACAACUCGUUGUUUUAUGACCAGCUACAUGAACUUGCCACUCCCCCACCUCCCAUUUCCAUCUGGUUUUGUCUAAGCGUCUGCCAUUAUUUUCAGCUUUUGUUGCACCAUUUUUUACCAUUAACAGUAGCCAUAAAACUAGC
Molecule: long non-coding RNA, 413 nt
Organism: Drosophila gunungcola (fruit fly)
Lineage: Eukaryota; Metazoa; Arthropoda; Insecta; Diptera; Drosophilidae
Exons: 3
Source: RefSeq, a predicted model, not a curated record